UACGAGGGGGGCAAGCGUUGUUCGGAAUUAUUGGGCGUAAAGGGUGCGUAGGCGGUCUGACAAGUCUGAUGUGAAAUCUAUGGGCUCAACCCAUAGUCUGCAUCGGAAACUGUCGGGCUUUGAGUAUGGGGAGAGGUGAGUGGAAUUUCCGGUGUAGCGGUGAAAAUGCGUAGAUAUCGGAAGGAACACCCUGUGGCGAAAAGCGGCUCAC
Molecule: ribosomal RNA, 211 nt
Filed under: uncultured bacterium
Lineage: Bacteria
Description: partial 16S ribosomal RNA
Rfam family: Bacterial small subunit ribosomal RNA
Source: RNAcentral